AUGUAAAGGUAACGCAGAGAACUGAAACAUCUAAGUACCUGCAGGAAGAGAAAGUAAAAACGAUUUCGUAAGUAGCGGCGAGCGAACGCGAAGAAGGGCAAACCAAGAAGCUUGCUUCUUGGGGUUGUAGGACUGCAAAGUGGACUUAAGCAUUAUAGUCGAAUAACCUGGGAAGGUUAAUCAAAGAGGGUAAUAAUCCCGUAGACGAAAUAGCGCUUAUACCUAGCAGUAUCCUGAGUAGGGCUGGACACGCGAAAUCCAGUUUGAAUCCGGGAGG
Molecule: ribosomal RNA, 277 nt
Filed under: Lactococcus lactis
Lineage: Bacteria; Bacillati; Bacillota; Bacilli; Lactobacillales; Streptococcaceae
Description: partial 23S ribosomal RNA
Rfam family: Bacterial large subunit ribosomal RNA
Source: RNAcentral